This 126-nucleotide microRNA precursor is filed under the name Hordeum vulgare. Its description in RNAcentral is "microRNA MIR1122". It matches the Rfam family "MIR1120/MIR1122 microRNA precursor family". The record is from RNAcentral. Lineage: Eukaryota; Viridiplantae; Streptophyta; Magnoliopsida; Poales; Poaceae.
CAACUAUUUUCUCCGUUUGAAAAUACUUGUCAAAAAGAUGAAUAUAUCUUAGACGUAUUUUAGUUCUAUAUACAUUCAUUUCUAUUUAUUUUCACGACAAGUAAUUUCGGACGGAGGGAGUACUAU